GCUGGGUAUGGUGGCGCAUGCCUGUAAUCCCAGUUUCUCAGGAGGCUGAGGCAGGAGAAUCGCUUGAACCCAGGAGCUGGAGGUUGCAGUGAGCCGAGAUCACACCACUGCCCUCCAGCCUGGGUGACAGAGUAAGACUCUGUCUCAA
Non-coding RNA from Homo sapiens (human), 148 nucleotides. It matches the Rfam family "Metazoan signal recognition particle RNA". Rfam says of the family: The signal recognition particle (SRP) is a universally conserved ribonucleoprotein. It is involved in the co-translational targeting of proteins to membranes. NCBI's taxonomy places the organism in Eukaryota, Metazoa, Chordata, Mammalia, Primates, Hominidae. The record is from Rfam.